GGGCGUGUAGCUCAGUUGGGAGAGCGCCACCCUUACAAGGUGGAUGUCGGGAGUUCGAGCCUCUCCACGCCCA
Transfer RNA from Motiliproteus sp. MSK22-1, 73 nucleotides. It matches the Rfam family "tRNA". Rfam says of the family: Transfer RNA (tRNA) molecules are approximately 80 nucleotides in length. Their secondary structure includes four short double-helical elements and three loops (D, anti-codon, and T loops). Further hydrogen bonds mediate the characteristic L-shaped molecular structure. tRNAs have two regions of fundamental functional importance: the anti-codon, which is responsible for specific mRNA codon recognition, and the 3' end, to which the tRNAs corresponding amino acid is attached (by aminoacyl-tRNA synthetases). tRNAs cope with the degeneracy of the genetic code in two manners: having more than one tRNA (with a specific anti-codon) for a particular amino acid; and 'wobble' base-pairing, i.e. permitting non-standard base-pairing at the 3rd anti-codon position. NCBI's taxonomy places the organism in Bacteria, Pseudomonadati, Pseudomonadota, Gammaproteobacteria, Oceanospirillales, Oceanospirillaceae. The record is from Rfam.